UACAGGGGGGGCAAGCGUUGUUCGGAAUUACUGGGCGUAAAGGGCUCGUAGGCGGCCAACUAAGUCCGACGUGAAAUCCCCAAGCUUAACUUGGGAACUGCGUCGGAUACUGGAUGGCUUGAAUUCGGGAGAGGGAUGCAGAAUUCCAGGUGUAGCGGUGAAAUGCGUAGAUAUCUGGAGGAAUACCGGUGGCGAAGGCGGCAUCCUGGACCGGCAUUGACGCUGAGGAGCGAAAGCCAGGGGAGCAAACGGG
This 253-nucleotide ribosomal RNA is filed under the name uncultured bacterium. RNAcentral describes it as "partial 16S ribosomal RNA". It matches the Rfam family "Bacterial small subunit ribosomal RNA", at positions 524 to 776 of the family's 1533-position model. The record is from RNAcentral.